GUCUACAGCCAUACCACCCUAAAUGUGCUUGAUCUCGUCUGGUCUCAGAAGCUAAGCAGGAUUGGGCCUGUUUAGUACGUGGAUGAGAGAAUCUAUUUACAGUAUUCU
Molecule: ribosomal RNA, 108 nt
Filed under: Heterocephalus glaber (naked mole-rat)
Lineage: Eukaryota; Metazoa; Chordata; Mammalia; Rodentia; Bathyergidae
Source: RNAcentral